AGUUUUACAGUCCUAUGGUGUUCAUACUCAGAUCAAAAUGACCAAACAUAAGGACCUGCCUUGUCUGAAAAAGGAGAUCUCCCUAGACAAAUGAACUUGCCUGUAUUUGCUAGGUCAUUUGUUUCUUUGUAUGCCACACAUUUUUAAUCAUGCAUCCCUAUUUUGGUAAAGCUUUUUUUUUUUUUUCAGACUCAAGUACUACUGCAUGUUUGUCUUGGGCUGGUGGAUUAUAUUAUCCUUUGGAGGUCUCUCUAAAGUAUACUUUAUUCUAGGGAGUGAUUGAUUCGGAAAGAAUGGAUUUUGAGCUGUUGCCAGAUGAUGAACGUCAGUGUGUAAAAUGCAAAACUACAUGCUUCAUGUCUGCCAUCUCCUGUUCUUGUAAACCUGGCCUUCUUGUUUGCCUGCAUCAUGUAAAAGAAUUGUGUUCCUGUCCUCCUUACAAAUAUAAAUUGCGGUAUAGGUACACGCUGGAUGAUCUCUACCCUAUGAUGAAUGCAUUGAAGCUUCGAGCAGAAUCUUACAACGAAUGGGCCUUGAAUGUGAAUGAAGCUUUGGAGGCA
RNAcentral lists this long non-coding RNA (560 nucleotides) under Homo sapiens (human). Its description in RNAcentral is "non-protein coding lnc-SYT2-2:1". Lineage: Eukaryota; Metazoa; Chordata; Mammalia; Primates; Hominidae. The record is from RNAcentral.